Molecule: long non-coding RNA, 137 nt
Filed under: Fukomys damarensis (Damara mole-rat)
Lineage: Eukaryota; Metazoa; Chordata; Mammalia; Rodentia; Bathyergidae
Description: lncRNA (ENSFDAG00000025699.1)
Source: RNAcentral
CGGACAUGCGGUCCUUCCUCCUGCCCACAGAUCUCCAGGUUGCUGAGCUCUAACACUGACCUGUUCACUAGGAUUUAAGAUAGUACUCGUGUAAGACCAAGGUGGUACUAACGGAAAAGUGGGCAAACAGUACUGCA